Molecule: long non-coding RNA, 202 nt
Filed under: Mytilus galloprovincialis (Mediterranean mussel)
Lineage: Eukaryota; Metazoa; Mollusca; Bivalvia; Mytilida; Mytilidae
Source: RNAcentral
CUUGGAUGCAAAUAUUUAACAAAAUAUAAAUGGCUAAUAUAGUGCCGAGACAACAAAAAUUAACAAUAAAAACAAUCCUGUUGAUUAUCAAUAACAUUCAUUAUCAUCCAAAUAAUACAGGAAAAAAUAAGUUUUUUAUUCAAAUUUCGACUUCAGAUGUACUUGUUAGAAAUAUAAACACUGAACUGUAUCUUUAGACUUG